CAAGUCAUGUGAGAGUCAUAGAUAUGCAUAACUUCCCUCUUAUCUCCAGCUCUAUCGUCGAGCUUCUUCAUGAGCAGGUCUAGGUUUGCAGACAGCAUGUCUACUUCCUUGAGCUGAUGCAUACCUCCACCUCUCUUGCGUGUCUGGGUCCUCUCUUCAUUCUAGCCUUGAUUGGAUGCCAUCUUCUCCACAAGAGCUGUGGCUUGUGGUAUAGUAAGUGAUAAGAAUGCUCCUCCAGCUGCA
This 243-nucleotide long non-coding RNA is filed under the name Sorghum bicolor (sorghum). RNAcentral's name for it is "long non-coding RNA (SBIC_LNC017808)". Lineage: Eukaryota; Viridiplantae; Streptophyta; Magnoliopsida; Poales; Poaceae. The record is from RNAcentral.